AACAUCGCGCACCUGCGGGAACCUGCGGAGGGAUCAUUACUGAGUCACGUGCUCAAACAACCCUUCUGUGGACCUGAAAUAAAACCGUUGCCUCGGCGGGCGGUCCCCCCCAAACCAACCCCACGUGGUGGGUUAGGGGAGACCAGACAGUCCGGUACGCUUAAGGCAUCCGGCGCCAGCCGCUGGCCCCAAACAAUUAAACUCUAGUAAUCUUUACCUUCUGAGUUUCAAUAUUUAAAA
This 240-nucleotide unclassified non-coding RNA is filed under the name soil metagenome. RNAcentral's name for it is "partial contains 5.8S ribosomal RNA, internal transcribed spacer 2, and large subunit ribosomal RNA". The record is from RNAcentral.